AGUGAACGCUGGCGGUAGGCCUAACACAUGCAAGUCGAACGGCAGCACAGGAGAGCUUGCUCUCUAGGUGGCGAGUGGCGGACGGGUGAGGAAUACAUCGGAAUCUGCCCAGCCGAGGGGGAUAACGUAGGGAAACUUACGCUAAUACCGCAUACGACCUUCGGGUGAAAGAGGGGGAGCGCAAGACCUCUCGCGAUUGGAUGAGCCGAUGUCGGAUUAGCUAGUUAGCGGGGUAAUGGCCGACCAAGGCGACGAUCCGGAGCUGGUCUGAGAGGAUGAUCAGCGACACCGGGGCUGGGCCUCGGCCCCGACGCCGACGGGAGCCUGCAGUGGCGAAUAUUGGACCGGGGGCGAAGGCCUGGUCGAGCACUGCCCCGUGAGUGAUGAAGGCCUUAGGGCUGUAAAGCGCCUUUACCCGGGAUGCGAAUGACAGCACCGGGAGAAUGAGCUCCGGCGAACUGCGU
This 464-nucleotide ribosomal RNA is filed under the name uncultured bacterium. Its description in RNAcentral is "partial 16S ribosomal RNA". It matches the Rfam family "Bacterial small subunit ribosomal RNA", at positions 30 to 506 of the family's 1533-position model. The record is from RNAcentral.